This is a long non-coding RNA of Perca flavescens (yellow perch), 257 nucleotides long. RefSeq lists it as uncharacterized. NCBI's taxonomy places the organism in Eukaryota, Metazoa, Chordata, Actinopteri, Perciformes, Percidae. The record is from RefSeq and is a predicted model, not a curated record. The transcript has 3 exons.
CUCCUGUCCCUGUGAAGAGUGAAGAUGAUGAAGAGGAAGGGCUUGACCAGAGAUGGACUGAACACAUGGAAACAGAAGCUGAUGGAGAGGAAGCAGCCAGGAACUUCCUGCCACACCUACUGCUCCCCCCAGAGACUGGAGACAGUGUGGAUAGUGACUUCUGGAAGGAGAGCAGAGAACGUCUCGCAGCUUUGAACUCUCUGGAAGAUGAUUCAAGAUAUGUUGAGCAGCUGUUGGUGGUUAAAGAAGAGGUUCCC